AACGCAGCAUAUAUGUUUAAGUGAAUGAAGAGCCGGGGACAUACGUGCAUACGUAAACAAGCUUGCGGCACUCAGGUGCUGGUGCACUGGGAAUGACAUUGGUGCUCUAUACGCCAAAAAUUGUGCGCACUCUAAAUCAGUACCGAAACGCAGGGAGUGGUAUAAUGACCGUAACUGCGUUUACAUUUGGCAAUAAAUGGUCUCGGAGGGGACUGGCGGCCUAUAGAUCCAAGUACAACGGUCGGAGGAAAUUUUCGAAUGCGGCAAGCAAUUAACCCAAGUGUCAAAGGGCACUGCUGAACUGCAAUGUAGUUGGUUGAACUCAUUCCCAUGAUAUUUACAAAAUAUCUCGUCUCUGACAAUAACUGCCCAUUCAUUGAGACAAAUCGAUUACGCAUAAUCUUCACUGUUCAUGUGUUAAUUCUUGCGGUAAGAUGUAAUCGCAAACAUUUGGCGCUUCAUCUUGAAACAAGACCGGUAAGCGUGCUCGUUCUUGUACGGUAGAAUAAAGAACGCGAACAUGCACCGACAUGUGUGUAAACUACUGGAAGGUGACUGAAGAUGAAGGACCUAUUACCGUGCUAGUACUGUGUAUACUGUCAAAAAGAAGAAAAAAAUAUUUCGGAAAGAAAGAAUGCCCAGUGUCGAGAUGUAACGAUUCAAGCUUUAUUUCUUUUUGACCUAGAAUGCAAUGCCAUUAGUUCCACGUGCUUUAUGCAUGGGUAAUGUUAUGACACAACUCAUUAUUUACCCGUUCAUUACAUGCACCAACCAGCCCAAAUUAUCCCUGUACUAGAGCUUAUGGACGCAUCGCAGUGCACUGCUUUGCACUUCAUUAUAGCACAGGGGUUUGCUAUCGCCAGUAGCGAAUGCUUUGGUUGACCUCCCUGCCUUUCUGCCUUUUGAAUUCUCUCUCCCUUUGUAUAAAACGCACUAACUUGUGGGAGAGAAAGCGUUCUCCUCUUUUAGAAUUCAAUUAAUUGUCAAGCAAUUAUAUUGCAGUUCCAGUAACUAGAGCAGAAAUGCGAAAACGAAACCGAUUCUGUUCGGUUCUCCGCGCUCAGAGUGCGACACCAGGGGGCAGCGCGCGCUGCGCGUCCGUUAGGAGUGGCAGACGGAGAUGCACAUGUGUAGUCAGCCGGCAUUUUUCGAGUCGUGUUGUAAAUGUUGUUAAUUCGCCGUAAAUAUCUCUUGAUUUGUACUCAAGGGUGGAGCAAGACCCCAAGGAAGAGAGAUUGACGCAUCGGGAGCGAAGAACAGAAACGAUGGAUGGUUACGCUGCUUGGGUCUCGGCACGUUCGAAUUGGCAAAGUUCCGAAUUUGUUGCUGUGUUGUGUACGCUUGUGCGCUCGUUAUUUGCCGUCAUCGCGCGGAGAUAUUUGCGCUGGAUGUCUUUCACUUCGUGUACAAAACUCUGCUCGCUGCGGCAUCGAAGAAGUUGUCCUGUGUUUGGGUGCACGUAUGCGCUUGGACACGGAUAGCCUGCUUGCUCUCAACGGGUGUUCAACAGUCUACGCGCGCUCGUAACUUGCUCAUGAGGCAAGUUGCUGUUGUGCUGGAGCUGAGAAGAGGUCUGCUGCCUGCAAUGGGUCCAUCUCUCUCAAGUUAUUGCAGUAUUAUAGCUCUCAAGGUUCAAAAAAAGUAUGGUGGAAGCUGUUGCCAAGGUUCCGACCAGAAAAGACAGCCAGUAUAAAAGGGUCCACGCCACUGAUCUCUACUACAGGGGAUGAACAGCACAUCGAGCGCCCUCGACUGAAGCCGGCCUUGUCCCGGAAGUUGGUGCUUGACAACUUUGCGGCAGCACUUUGUUGCACGGCCUGUGGAGACAAGGUUUCUUAGACAUGGCCGUGGCCCUCAAGGAAGAUGCCGAGGCCACAGGCAGUUCCUCCAGUGACCGUGAAAAGGUCCCCUGGGGCACAAGUCUGGUUUGGCACCCCCACCUUUCUCCUGCAGCUUUUCUGUCUACUUAGCUAACCAGCAAGUUUAUCCUUGCAAGCGUUUGGAGUCAAGAACAACUUUCACCAGGAAGAAGUGCAAGACGAGUGAUUGAAGAAAAUAAAGUUGCUUCUGUGAUCUAAGAA
Dermacentor albipictus is the source of this 2081-nucleotide non-coding RNA. The record is from RefSeq and is a predicted model, not a curated record. Lineage: Eukaryota; Metazoa; Arthropoda; Arachnida; Ixodida; Ixodidae.